GCGCUGAUCGGCUCCGAGCCCGCCGCCUCCAAGGCGGCGUCGUGAGCGCCNAGGGGUUCGAAUCCCUUCGGGCGCAC
Molecule: transfer RNA, 77 nt
Filed under: Mycobacteroides abscessus subsp. abscessus
Lineage: Bacteria; Bacillati; Actinomycetota; Actinomycetes; Mycobacteriales; Mycobacteriaceae
Description: tRNA-Trp(cca)
Source: RNAcentral